GGAAUAUUGCACAAUGAGCGAAAGCUUGAUGCAGCCAUACCGCGUGUGUGAAGAAGGCCUGAGGGUUGUAAAGCACUUUCAAUUGUGAGGAAGGUUCAGUAGUUAAUACCUGCUGUUCUUGACGUUAACUUUAGAAGAAGCACCGGCUAACUCUGUGCCAGCAGCCGCGGUAAUACAGAGGGUGCAAGCGUUAUUCGGAAUUACUGGGCGUAAAGCGCGCGUAGGCGGAUUAUUAAGUCAGUUGUGAAAGCCCUGGGCUCAACCUGGGAACUGCAUCUGAUACUGGUAGUCUAGAGUUUAAGAGAGGGAAGUGGAAUUCCAGGUGUAGCAGUGAAAUGCGUAGAUAUCUGGAGGAACAUCAGUGGCGAAGGCGACUUCCUGGCUUAAAACUGACGCUGAGGUGCGAAAGCGUGGGUAGCGAACGGGAUUAGAAACCCCGGUAGUCC
This 446-nucleotide ribosomal RNA is filed under the name uncultured bacterium. RNAcentral describes it as "bacterial SSU rRNA". It matches the Rfam family "Bacterial small subunit ribosomal RNA", at positions 358 to 796 of the family's 1533-position model. The record is from RNAcentral.